GAAAUGCGAUAAGUAAUGUGAAUUGCAGAAUUCAGUGAAUCAUCGAAUCUUUGAACGCACAUUGCGCCCGCCAGUAUUCUGGCGGGCAUGCCUGCCCGAGCGUCAUUUCAACCAUCAAGCCCCCGGGCUUGUGUUGGGGACCUGCGGCUGCCCGCAGGCCCUGAAAACCAGUGGCGGGCUCGCUGUCACACCGAGCGUAGUAGCAAUCACCUCGCUCAGGGCGUGCUGCGGGUUCCGGCCGUUAAACAGCCUUACAAAACCCAAGGUUGACCUCGGAUCAGGUAGGAAGACCCGCUGAACUUAAGC
RNAcentral lists this unclassified non-coding RNA (306 nucleotides) under plant metagenome. Its description in RNAcentral is "partial contains 5.8S ribosomal RNA, internal transcribed spacer 2, and large subunit ribosomal RNA". The stretch from base 1 to 105 matches the Rfam family "5.8S ribosomal RNA", at positions 50 to 154 of the family's 154-position model. The record is from RNAcentral.